GAUGAAGAACGUAGCGAAAUGCGAUAAGUAAUGUGAAUUGCAGAAUUCAGUGAAUCAUCGAAUCUUUGAACGCAUCUUGCGCUCCUUGGUAUUCCUUGGAGCAUGCCUGUUUGAGUAUCAUGAGCAAAUCUCAAAGUCAAUUCCUUUUGUUAAUUCAAUUGGUUUUGCUUUGGACUUGGAGGUCUUGCAGAUUUCACAGUCUGCUCCUCUUAAAUGCAUUAGCUGGAUCUCAGUAAUUAUGCUUGGUUCCACUCGGCGUGAUAAGUAUCACUCGCUGAGGAAACUGUUAAAAAGGUGGCCAGGAAAAUACUGAUUGAACCGCUUCUAACGGUCUAUUAAGUUAGACAAUUGACCCCUUAAGUUUGAUCUCAAAUCAGGUAGGACUACCCGCUGAACUUAAGCAUAUCAAUAAGCGGAGGA
Molecule: unclassified non-coding RNA, 420 nt
Filed under: soil metagenome
Description: partial contains 5.8S ribosomal RNA, internal transcribed spacer 2, and large subunit ribosomal RNA
Rfam family: 5.8S ribosomal RNA (bases 1-120)
Source: RNAcentral